CCUACGGGAGGCAGCAGUGAGGAAUAUUGGUCAAUGGUCGGAAGACUGAACCAGCCAAGCCGCGUGAGGGAUGAAGGUACUGUGUAUCGUAAACCUCUUUUGUCAGGGAAAAAAGGUGGCGACGUGUCACCGUAUCAAUGUACCUUAAGAAAAAGCAUCGGCUAACUCCGUGCCAGCAGCCGCGGUAAUACGGAGGAUGCGCGCGUUAUCCGGAUUUAUUGGGUUUAAAGGGUGCGCAGGCGGUCUUGUAAGUCAGCGGUGAAAUCGCGGGGCUCAACCCGAGACUGGCCGUUGAAACUGGCAGACUUGAGUUUGAUAGAGGUAGGCGGAAUGCGUGGUGUAGCGGUGAAAUGCAUAGAUAUCGCGCAGAACUCCGAUUGCGAAGGCAGCUUGCUGGCCCAACACUGACGCUGAGGCACGAAAGCGUGGGUAUCAAACAGGAUUAGAUACCCCGGUAGUC
Molecule: ribosomal RNA, 460 nt
Filed under: uncultured bacterium
Lineage: Bacteria
Description: partial 16S ribosomal RNA
Rfam family: Bacterial small subunit ribosomal RNA
Source: RNAcentral